This 871-nucleotide ribosomal RNA is filed under the name uncultured bacterium. RNAcentral describes it as "bacterial SSU rRNA". It matches the Rfam family "Bacterial small subunit ribosomal RNA", at positions 56 to 927 of the family's 1533-position model. The record is from RNAcentral.
UGCAGUCGAACGGCAGCACGGGAGCAAUCCUGGUGGCGAGUGGCGAACGGGUGAGUAAUAUAUCGGAACGUGCCCAGUCGUGGGGGAUAACGCAGCGAAAGCUGUGCUAAUACCGCAUACGAUCUAUGGAUGAAAGCGGGGGACCGUAAGGCCUCGCGCGAUUGGAGCGGCCGAUAUCAGAUUAGCUUGUUGGUGGGGUAAAAGCCCACCAAGGCGACGAUCUGUAGCUGGUCUGAGAGGACGACCAGCCACACUGGAACUGAGACACGGUCCAGACUCCUACGGGAGGCAGCAGUGGGGAAUUUUGGACAAUGGGCGCAAGCCUGAUCCAGCAAUGCCGCGUGCAGGAUGAAGGCCUUCGGGUUGUAAACUGCUUUUGUACGGAACGAAACGGCUCUUUCUAAUAAAGAGGGCUAAUGACGGUACCGUAAGAAUAAGCACCGGCUAACUACGUGCCAGCAGCCGCGGUAAUACGUAGGGUGCGAGCGUUAAUCGGAAUUACUGGGCGUAAAGCGUGCGCAGGCGGUUAUAUAAGACAGAUGUGAAAUCCCCGGGCUCAACCUGGGACCUGCAUUUGUGACUGUAUAGCUAGAGUACGGUAGAGGGGGAUGGAAUUCCGCGUGUAGCAGUGAAAUGCGUAGAUAUGCGGAGGAACACCGAUGGCGAAGGCAAUCCCCUGGACCUGUACUGACGCUCAUGCACGAAAGCGUGGGGAGCAAACGGGAUUAGAUACCCUGGUAGUCCACGCCCUAAACGAUGUCAACUGGUUGUUGGGUCUUCACUGACUCAGUAACGAAGCUAACGCGUGAAGUUGACCGCCUGGGGAGUACGGCCGCAAGGUUGAACUCAAGGAAUUGACGGGACCCGCACA